RNAcentral lists this ribosomal RNA (1035 nucleotides) under Pithecopus gonzagai. Its description in RNAcentral is "partial large subunit ribosomal RNA". It matches the Rfam family "Bacterial large subunit ribosomal RNA", at positions 815 to 2541 of the family's 2925-position model. Lineage: Eukaryota; Metazoa; Chordata; Amphibia; Anura; Hylidae. The record is from RNAcentral.
GUAGAGGUGACAGACCUAACGAGCUUAGUGAUAGCUGGUUACUUAAGAAAAGGAUCUUAGUCCCCCCCAAAUUUUUUACAAUAUUUAUAAAUAAAAACUAAAAUUUGGAGUUAUUCAAAUAAGGUACAGCCUAUUUGAACCAGGAUACAACCUCCUCAAACGGGUAAUUAAAUCCAUAUACAGCAAAGUAGGCCUAAAAGCAGCCAUCUUCAAAAAGCGUCAAAGCUUAUCUUCAAAUUUUCAUAAUCCCCCUAAUUUUUAAAACCCCUUAAUCUUUAUUAAGUAACUCUAUAAAAUUAUAGUAUUUAUUAUGUUAAAACUAGUAACGAGAAUCAGAACUUCUCUUUAAUGUAAGUGUAAAUCAGAAUGGACAAACCACUGAUUUUUAACACUUGAAACCAAAGUAACAACCCACCAAGAAAAUCUUACCUCAAAUAGUGUUAACCUGACACAAGAACAUUCUCAGACAGAUUGAAAGGAAAAGAAGGAACUCGGCAAACAUUAACCCCGCCUGUUUACCAAAAACAUCGCCUCUUGAUAAACAUAUAAGAGGUCCAGCCUGCCCAGUGACUCUGUUCAACGGCCGCGGUAUCCUAACCGUGCGAAGGUAGCGUAAUCACUUGUUCUUUAAAUGAGGACUAGUAUGAAUGGCAUCACGAGGGUUAUACUGUCUCCUUUCCCCAAUCAGUGAAACUAAUCUCCUCGUGAAGAAGCGAGGAUAAAUAUAUAAGACGAGAAGACCCUAUGGAGCUUAAAACUUUCAGCAAUUAUCUUUUCUAUAACAACCUUAAGGUUAUUACAUCAACUCUAAUAAUAUGCCUGUCAGUUUUCGGUUGGGGUGACCGCGGAGUAAAACUCACCCUCCGCAAUGAAUAUUAACAAUUAAGCAAAAAACUACAAUUUUAUGCAUCAAAAAAUUGACAGUAUUGACCCAACACUUUGAUCAACGAACCAAGUUACCCUAGGGAUAACAGCGCAAUCCAUCUCAAGAGCUCAUAUCGACAGAUGGGUUUACGACCUCGAUGUUGGAUCAGG